This 27-nucleotide non-coding RNA is filed under the name Macaca fascicularis (crab-eating macaque). Lineage: Eukaryota; Metazoa; Chordata; Mammalia; Primates; Cercopithecidae. The record is from RNAcentral. RNAcentral also lists the same sequence under 1 other name.
GCACUCAGAAACACACAUGCUCAGCCC